ACCACCYUUGGCACUAUGCCAUGUUCUUUCCUCUUUGAAGGGAGUGCUGGCAGUGGGGAAUCCCUCAAAAUGAUCUGUCAUCAGAAUUCUCAUUUAAAUGAUUAUUCUCCCCCACCCAUCAACUGCCCCUCAGAUUUAGAAUCCACCUUUGCUGCCAGAGGGCAUCUCUGCUGCCAAUCAUCACUCAGGGUCGGUCAAAUGUUGCUGUUCUUGUUAUUGACAAGCAGAUAAAAGAAUCUGGUGAUUGACCUGCUGUGAUAAACUAAAGAAGAUCUUUCUGUCAUGAGGAUGUGAUUUUUUGAUUAUGCCAAGGAACCCUUCCCAUCCUUUGGAACAAAAAGCCUGGUAAUAAGCUGGCAUUUGGAGAUUUUGCACUGUUAGAACAGCAGCAUCACUGUGCAUUAAACAGUCAAGAAGCAAAGCAAAAUUCAGCCUUGGCAAAGGAAAGUUAGCCUCAUAAAUGUUUGUGAGUAAUAAAAAGCAUGUAAAAAGCAUUUACCAGAAAUGCUUCAUUUUUGUCAGAUGCCAGAAGUAUUAAACUUGGAAAAAGCAGAUAUUUUAAUUGCAUUAUGGUCACUACAAAACUUUUCAGAGAUAUUACUCCAGGUAAAUAGAUUAUCAGUACCAACUCUUGUGGUCACUGUGCAUUGAUUCCACCAACACAUGGGGAAUUCUAGUCCAAGUUAAAUAUUAAUAGAGUUUCCUGCUUGCAAAGUCUCUGCUGCUUUUKACCUUAGCAAAUAAGCUCCUUGCCCAAGGAUUUGGUCAAAUGAGGGAGGARAAAACCCAAAUCACCAAAAGAAUAYCUUAAAAUUWAGUUUGUUUGAUUUUCUUUAGAAUGGAACAGGGMAUAAUUGUAACAUUUUUCACUGAAUAAUUGUAUUUCCAAAAGUCAUGACAUUGAAACRAAUACAGGCUUUUGAGGGGUAUAUAUAUGAUAUUUAUUGUGAUAAAUGUCCUUGAAUUCUUCUUGCUAAUUCACCAUAUAUUUGCAGAGUGAUCCAAGUGUUAGAGCAAACAUUGACAGCUCAUGUUAUUAGGAAGCACAGAAGAAAGAUCUAAGAAUCAGCAAAGACUGUUGUGUACCGUGAAGGUGUGAUAGAAGAUGAGGCAGUGAUGUCGAGAUUCCRUACCUGAAUCUGACAGAAUUUACAAGCUGAAGAUCUAUUCAAACACAACAGACUAACUUGGUGUAAAGAAAGAGUGACUAUCAUGUGGGGACAG
Molecule: long non-coding RNA, 1224 nt
Organism: Malurus melanocephalus (red-backed fairy wren)
Lineage: Eukaryota; Metazoa; Chordata; Aves; Passeriformes; Maluridae
Exons: 5
Source: RefSeq, a predicted model, not a curated record